AGUGAACGCUGGCGGCGUGCUUAACACAUGCAAGUCGAACGAGAACGGAAUAUAGCUUGCUAUAUUUGUCAGCUAAGUGGCGCACGGGUGAGUAAUGUAUAGAUAACCUGCCCUUAAGAUAGGAAUAACAGUCGGAAACGAAUGCUAAUGCCCUAUACGCCUUUAAUACAUAAGUAUGCAAGGGAAGCGCUUUAGUGCUUAAGGAUGGGUCUGUAUGGUUUCAGCUUGUUGGUGAGGUAAUGGCUGACUAUGGCUAUGACGCCUAACUGGUGUGAGAGGAGGAACAUUCACACUGGGACUGAGACACGGUCCGGACUGCUACGGGAGGCAGGAGUGGGGAAUAUUGCACAAGGGACGAAAGUCUGAUGCGGCAGCGCCGCGUGGAGGAUGACACAUUUCGGUGCGUAACUCCUCUGAGACGGGGAGUUAAUGACGGUACUAUGUGAAUAAGCACCGGCUAACUCCGUGCCAGCCGCCGCGGUAA
RNAcentral lists this ribosomal RNA (484 nucleotides) under uncultured bacterium. Its description in RNAcentral is "partial 16S ribosomal RNA". It matches the Rfam family "Bacterial small subunit ribosomal RNA", at positions 29 to 523 of the family's 1533-position model. The record is from RNAcentral.